Molecule: ribosomal RNA, 451 nt
Filed under: uncultured bacterium
Lineage: Bacteria
Description: bacterial SSU rRNA
Rfam family: Bacterial small subunit ribosomal RNA
Source: RNAcentral
GUCCAGACUCCUACGGGAGGCAGCAGUGGGGAAUAUUGGACAAUGGGGGGAACCCUGAUCCAGCGACGCCGCGUGAGUGAAGAAGUAUUUCGGUAUGUAAAGCUCUAUCAGCAGGGAAGAAAGAAAUGACGGUACCUGACUAAGAAGCCCCGGCUAACUACGUGCCAGCAGCCGCGGUAAUACGUAGGGGGCAAGCGUUAUCCGGAUUUACUGGGUGUAAAGGGAGCGUAGACGGCUGUGCAAGCCAGAUGUGAAAGCCCGGGGCUCAACUCCGGGACUGCUUUUGAAACUGUGUUGCUAGAUUGCAGGAGAGGUAAGUGGAAUUCCUAGUGUAGCGGUGAAAUGCGUAGAUAUUAGGAGGAACACCAGUGGCGAAGGCGGCUUACUGGACUGUAAAUGACGCUGAGGCUCGAAAGCGUGGGGAGCAAACAGGAUUAGAUACCCGCGUACA